GAUGAACGCUGGCGGCGUGCCUAAUACAUGCAAGUCGAGCGAACAGACGAGGAGCUUGCUCCUCUGAUGUUAGCGGCGGACGGGUGAGUAACACGUGGAUAACCUACCUAUAAGACUGGGAUAACUUCGGGAAACCGGAGCUAAUACCGGAUAAUAUUUUGAACCGCAUGGUUCAAUAGUGAAAGACGGUUUUGCUGUCACUUAUAGAUGGAUCCGCGCUGCAUUAGCUAGUUGGUAAGGUAACGGCUUACCAAGGCAACGAUGCAUAGCCGACCUGAGAGGAGGGUGAGCGACAAUGGAGGUGAGACAAGGUGGAGAAGACUACGAGAGGAAGCAGUAGGAGAGAAUCCGCAGUGAGGGAAAGAAGGAUGAAGGAACAACGCGGGAUGGAUGAAGAACGUCGGAGCAUAGAAAAAUGCUAUUAGGAGAGAAGAAAAGAGGAAGAAACAACGCAGGACAUGACGACAGUAAAUAAGGAAAAAACGACUAACAACGAC
Molecule: ribosomal RNA, 497 nt
Filed under: uncultured bacterium
Lineage: Bacteria
Description: partial 16S ribosomal RNA
Rfam family: Bacterial small subunit ribosomal RNA
Source: RNAcentral